RNAcentral lists this non-coding RNA (21 nucleotides) under Caenorhabditis elegans. The record is from RNAcentral. Lineage: Eukaryota; Metazoa; Nematoda; Chromadorea; Rhabditida; Rhabditidae.
UGACAGUGUUUUUCCUAUUGU